Gigantopelta aegis is the source of this 1396-nucleotide RNA transcript. RefSeq lists it as uncharacterized. NCBI's taxonomy places the organism in Eukaryota, Metazoa, Mollusca, Gastropoda, Neomphalida, Peltospiridae. The record is from RefSeq and is a predicted model, not a curated record. The transcript has 6 exons.
UCCGUGGUACUUAUUUUAUAUCCUGUAAAAUCAUUAAGUACAUGUACUGCAAGCAACAUAAAAUAAUAAAAAUGGGUAAAAAGUCUGCACGUGUACACUAUCAUCUUACGGCUGAUUACAGGCCUAAACAGGAGAUUCCGCCAUUGAUGAAACUGUUUAUGGAUGAACGAAAGCGAGAGAAACGGUCACGUUCUAGACCGGAUGUGCCGUCGGCCGACUCGUCGUCAUACACAUCACUUCUGUCGCCUUUAGACGACCCAUUUGCAUCGGUGUCCAAAGGUCUGUUCCUGCCAGGCUACGAAUCGGAUCCUUACUUAGUAGCGUUAAAAAAGGCAUUGUCAACGGCGUCGAAAACGACAAGGGCUUCCAGGAAUCUGUCAACAGUGUCUUCUCCUGGAGAUGACUGGACAACUAUGACAUCGUCUUCGUCAAUGACAGGACAAUUAUCAUGGAUAUCUCUGUCGAAAGAUUCUUUGAGACGUUCGCCUGCACAAACGGCAAGAUGCUCCAGUUUGGCGAAUUCAAGGGUGACAUAUCUGAACCCCUCGGUGGAGGAAUGUAUUCAAAGUAUCUGGUACGGAGAGGAACGGCCAACACGAGCGUCGGACACGCCCAAAGAGAGGAGUCUAGAAAGUUUCAAAGAACUCUUCAAAAAAGAAUAUUUCUUCCCAACUGGAGAUGUAGGGGAUCUUAUUCAAAUGCAAAAAUGCGAAUCGCCCAAGAUCUAUUUUAGGCCACAGGACGUUCGGCCAUGGUUAGUAAAAGCAGUGUGCUGUAUCUAGUUGGAAAAGAAAGCACGUCACCUUCGUAACAACAGGGCCCACAGAAUCUAUUCAACAAAAGUGGCCAGGACUUCGGCCUUCUUACGUAAAUUAAUCAAGGACAGUGAAUCUAAAGCGAAACCCACGCAGUGUCUGCCAUCCAAACCGUCUCAAGGUCAAGGUCGACCACGUCUGAGACUGAAAGAUGUUCUACAAGUGACUCAGGAAACUGCCAGGGAAAUGCACCCACGAGUCAAACGACCGUUCCACAAGCGAAAAUCCAAGUCGCAUGAUGUUUGUAUAUGCACAUAGCACGCUUACCAAAGAUGAUCAUAGCCGUGUCCUGAACAAUUUCACUGGUUGUGUUCUCAAAUCGAAUACUUCUAGAAAUACCUUCCAUAUAUACCGUAAAUCCUUAAAAUAAAAGCUUAGGAUUCUGUUAUUUUUUGUGUCGCUCCAAGACAAGCCCUAUUUUCAAGGCAGGUUUCUAUGUUUUUCGCGUCGCUCCAAGACCAGGACCCAUAUUCACAAAAUAUCGUAAGCCUAGUUUUACACGUAAACGUAAAUCUACGACUGAAGAGCUAUUCACGAAACAACGUAAACGUAAGUUACGUGUAAAGUUGGACGUAAAUAUG